GGUGAAGGGAACAGUAUGGCACAGCUUCAGAGGCAAGGGUGAGCCAGCAGCAAGGGGCUGGCUAUGGCCGGUACAAAAAGCAUGUGCUCGUGGGAAAUAGGCACCAAAGAAGGCCCAGAGAGGUUUAACAACUUCCUCAGAAUCACACAGCUUCCAAAUGGUUGGGUUGGGUUUACAUUUAGGCGGUCUUGCUCCAGAGCCAGUGCUCCUAACCUUUGCAAGCCACGAACCUCAAGAAAGUGGAGAAGGAAACGCUGGGAAAUCUGGAAGUCAGACAUGGCAACCUAGUUUAUCUCCCGGGAGCUGACUUCAUUUCUAAAC
Long non-coding RNA from Homo sapiens (human), 321 nucleotides. Ensembl annotates it as long intergenic non-protein coding RNA 2028. Lineage: Eukaryota; Metazoa; Chordata; Mammalia; Primates; Hominidae. The record is from Ensembl.